Molecule: ribosomal RNA, 780 nt
Filed under: uncultured bacterium
Lineage: Bacteria
Description: bacterial SSU rRNA
Rfam family: Bacterial small subunit ribosomal RNA
Source: RNAcentral
GCAGUCGAGCGACCCCUCAGGGUGAGCGGCGCACGGGUGCGUAACGCGUGGGAAUCUACAUCGAGGUACGGAAUAACUCACCGAAAGGUGCGCUAAUACCGUAUAAUGGCUCCGGCCCAAAGCUCCGGCGCCUCGGGAUGAGCCCGCGUCUGAUUAGGUAGUUGGUGGGGUAAGAGCCUACCAAGCCGACGAUCAGUAGCUGGUCUGAGAGGAUGAUCAGCCACACUGGGACUGAGACACGGCCCAGACUCCUACGGGAGGCAGCAGUAAGGGAUAUUGCACAAUGGAGGAAACUCUGAUGCAGCCAUGCCGCGUGAGUGAUGACGGCCUUCGGGUUGUAAAGCUCUUUCAGUAGUGAAGAUAAUGACGGUAACUACAGAAGAAGCCCCGGCUAACUUCGUGCCAGCAGCCGCGGUAAUACGAAGGGGGCGAGCGUUGUUCGGAAUCACUGGGCUUAAAGCGUACGUAGGCGGAUUGGCAAGUCAGAAGUGAAAUCCUAGGGCUUAACCCUAGAACUGCUUUUGAAACUGCCUGUCUGGAGUCCCGGAGAGGUUGGCGGAAUUCCGAGUGUAGAGGUGAAAUUCGCAGAUAUUCGGAGGAACACCAGUGGCGUAGGCGGCCAACUGGACGGGUACUGACGCUGAGGUACGAAAGCGCGGGGAUCAAACAGGAUUAGAUACCCUGGUAGUCCACGCUGUAAACGAUGUGUGUUAGCUGUUGGAGUCCUUAGGGCUUCAGUGGCGGAGGGAAACCAUUAAACACACCGCCUGGGGAGUACGG